This 65-nucleotide transfer RNA is filed under the name Natula pravdini. Its description in RNAcentral is "tRNA-Tyr". Lineage: Eukaryota; Metazoa; Arthropoda; Insecta; Orthoptera; Trigonidiidae. The record is from RNAcentral.
GGUAAAAUGGCUGAGGUUAGGCGAUAAAUUGUAAAUUUAUUUAGGAGAAUUUUUCUCUUUUAUCA